RNAcentral lists this ribosomal RNA (678 nucleotides) under Clunio sp. CLU. RNAcentral describes it as "eukaryotic LSU rRNA". It matches the Rfam family "Eukaryotic large subunit ribosomal RNA", at positions 653 to 1260 of the family's 3401-position model. Lineage: Eukaryota; Metazoa; Arthropoda; Insecta; Diptera; Chironomidae. The record is from RNAcentral.
CUUGAAACACGAACCAAGGAGUCUAUCUAGUAUGCAAGUAAAUGAGUAUAUGAAACUUAUUUGCAUAAAAAACUUGACUGUUAUGGGACUACGAGUUAUAUUGUCUUUUCAAUAUAAUUCCUCCAUCCCGGGGUAUUUUUAUCAACAUAUAUGAAUGUAUAUGAAAAAUAUACCAUGAGCAUACUGGAUAUGACCCGAAAGAUGGUGAACUAUGCCUGAUCAGGUUGAAGUCAGGGGAAACCCUGAUGGAGGACCGAAGCAAUUCUGACGUGCAAAUCGAUUGUCAGAAUUGGGCAUAGGGGCGAAAGACCAAUCGAACCAUCUAGUAGCUGGUUCCUUCCGAAGUUUCCCUCAGGAUAGCUGGAGCAUAGAAAUAUCUUUUUCUAACUCAUACCUGGUAAAGCGAAUGAUUAGAGGCCUUAGGAACGAAAUGUUCUUAACCUAUUCUCAAACUUUAAAUGGGUAUGUAAGCUAACAUACUUGAAUGAUGUUGGCCUGGUGAUAAAUAGUAAUAUUUAUCUGUAAGAUUGUAUGCGCCCAGUGGGCCAAGUUUUGGUAAGCAGAACUGGUGCUGCGGGAUGAACCGAACGCAUUGUUAAGGCGCCCAAAUAAACGACGCAUCAUCGAUACCAUGAAAGGUGUUGAUUGCUGAAGACAGCAGGACGGUGGACAUGGAAG